Molecule: ribosomal RNA, 394 nt
Filed under: uncultured bacterium
Lineage: Bacteria
Description: bacterial SSU rRNA
Rfam family: Bacterial small subunit ribosomal RNA
Source: RNAcentral
GAUGAACGCUAGCGGCAGGCUUAACACAUGCAAGUCGAGGGGUAUUUGGACUUCGGUUCAGAGAGACCGGCAAACGGGUGCGGAACACGUACACAACCUACCUUUAUCAGGGAGAUAGCCCAUAGAAAUGUGGAUUAAUACCCCAUAGUAUUAGGUGAUGGCAUCAUCAUUUAAUUUAAAGAAAUUUCGGUAUAGAGAUGGGUGGUGCGUAAGAUUAGCUAGUUGGUAGGGUAACGGCCUACCAAGGCAACGAUCUUUAGCUGAUGUGAGAGCAUGAUCAGCCACACGGGCACUGAGACACGGGCCCGGACUCCUACGGGAGGCAGCAGUGAGGAAUAUUGGUCAAUGGACGGAAGUCUGAACCAGCCAUGCCGCGUGAAGGAAGACGGCCCUA